CUUCCCCUUUGGCAAGUAAUGUUAUUCACCUGAUAUGGAACAAUGUUUCUUAUAUAUAUAUUUGCAUUAUACAAUUAAAGUAUCGUUUUUUUUUUUUUUUUUUUUUUUUUUGUCUGAGUUGUUCUUUGUUUAUACAUGCAUUCAUUUUCGUGUUUCCAUCCAAUUAAGGUCAAGCACGCUACACUGGACAUACACCUGUUUUACCUUACCCACUGCGUCAUUAAAAUCGCUCUCGGUGGGAGCCGGUACCUGGAAGCGAUCCCAGUACCUACCAACCUUAAGUCCGAUGGCUUAACCAUUACACCACAGAGGUCAAGCACGCUGCACUGGACAUACACCUGUUUUACCUUACCCACUGCGUCAUUAAAAUCGCUCUGGGUGGGAGCCGGUACCUGGAAGCGAUCCCAGUACCUACCAACCUUAAGUCCGAUGGCUUAACCAUUACACCACAGAGGUUCUGUCACAGUUGGAAACAGAAAACAAUACAGCAUCAAGCUUGUAGUAUAAUUGAAUCUACUGAAAGCUGUCUCAUAAACAUAGUAUACUCUCCCAAUCAGUUUCCAUUUCAGGUUUCUCCAUAGACACACAGAGAGUACAAAUUUCCUCAAAGAAAGAUAAAUAUAUGAAUGAAUGUGUUACGUAUGUAUAACAAUUAAAAAAAAAUUCCGUUUAAUAUUUCCUUCAGCUAAAGUAUUUUCUAAUUCUUUGAUGUACAAUUCCUUUUUUCAUUUAUAUGUGUCCCCCAAUCCCACCCCCUUCCAUAUGCACAACAUAUUAUUUUACUUCUAACAGUAUUUGCCAAAAGAGUGAGACUGAUGUUAUGACUGAGUUUAUUCAACUUUGUAGUGCUUCUUACUAUCCUUUAACUGUCAGUUUGAUGUCUAUCAGAAUUAAAGUUGAAAAGACACAUUGGUUUCAUUACCAUUUAGGCCUUUAUUGACAAUUGAUAAAAAGACACACUUUCGCAAAGAAGGAAGGAAAGAAAUUGUUUAUUUAACGAUGCACUCAACACAUUUUAUUUACGGUUAUAUGGCGUCGGACGUAUGGGUAAGGACCACACAGA
Gigantopelta aegis is the source of this 1063-nucleotide long non-coding RNA. RefSeq lists it as uncharacterized. The record is from RefSeq and is a predicted model, not a curated record. The transcript is spliced from 3 exons. NCBI's taxonomy places the organism in Eukaryota, Metazoa, Mollusca, Gastropoda, Neomphalida, Peltospiridae.